AUGAAUGAAAGACCCUACUCACAGCAAGAGAGCUUUUCUAGGAGUAUAUUGCAUAUUGGCUGUUUUCCCAGCCCUGGGAAGUCUUUCAGAAGCAUGCUGUGGCACAUUUCGGUUAGUUUUAGUGAAUUGCAGUGUACAAGCUGGGUUCUUUCUCCUGAAGUGCUGAUGCUGCAGCAUUCCCGUCAGACCGCAGGCAGCAAGCAUCUUUCUGCUAUUUCUCUAUGUGGGCACAUACAGACCUGGGUCUUGGAGAAUUUACAGCAGCUUCAGCUUUGUAACCUACAGUGCAAGGGGAAUGCCUGCCUGCACGGAGCAAGCGUCCGACCGCACAGCUGUGCUCUGGUGCUGUGUCCAGGAAUCAGGUGUCUCCCAGUGGGGAACCCACGCUCCUCGCACGAGCUUCUCCUGCGGCUGUGAAGCAGCCCUGCCGGUGAAGGCUUCUCCAUGUGUGCAGAUGAGAAAAUGAAAGCUGCCUGUAAAGGAUUCCCAUUCAUCAUGAAAAACCCACCAUACCAUGGGACAGCUGCUUGCCUGGGAUCUGUAUCUCAGAUGUGAGGAACCAGAACAGACACAUGCUGUGUUGUACAAAGACCGUAACCCAAGGGACAGGUAAAUCAUUCUUUAUAAGGAAAAAAACGUCAUAAGGAAUUAACGUUUUCUAUAAAAGAGACUUUUCAGGUUUUGCUCACCAUUUGACAUAAUCAAAAACAUGGCUUGAAAUGCAUAAAUUAUGGAUUUUUAUAUGCUAGUGCUCUAGUAACAUCCUCUGGAGAUGGAUUUGGCACUACUGCAAGCAUGGCUGGAUAGCCAGCAGGGGCUGCUUUGGCAAGGAGCACCCCGGCUGUCGCACCGUAGCUGGAAAGUGAAGCAGGUGGCAAAAGCUUCCUGGGAGAGGCUGGGACCAGAGCCUGUACCACCUUCAUGCCAC
This 928-nucleotide long non-coding RNA is filed under the name Anas platyrhynchos platyrhynchos (common mallard). Its description in RNAcentral is "lncRNA (ENSAPLG00000030768.1)". The record is from RNAcentral. Lineage: Eukaryota; Metazoa; Chordata; Aves; Anseriformes; Anatidae.